CUGCAGCCAAUUAAGCCGACUGAGUUCCUUUCCUCAUGGGGGCCCAGUGUGCAAUGGCUGCAAACAGCAGCUUCCCUGGUAGUGAUGCAGCCUGUUUGUUGUAUGGCUUGCUCUAAGGGACCUUGGAGACAGAC
This 134-nucleotide small nucleolar RNA is filed under the name Colobus angolensis palliatus. Its description in RNAcentral is "Small nucleolar RNA SNORA70 (ENSCANG00000007377.1)". It matches the Rfam family "Small nucleolar RNA SNORA70". From Rfam's summary of the family: snoRNA U70 seems to be exclusive to mammals and is a member of the H/ACA class of snoRNA which contain H (ANANNA) and ACA box motifs. Lineage: Eukaryota; Metazoa; Chordata; Mammalia; Primates; Cercopithecidae. The record is from Rfam by way of RNAcentral.